RNAcentral lists this ribosomal RNA (1521 nucleotides) under Mycobacterium sp. RNAcentral describes it as "bacterial SSU rRNA". It matches the Rfam family "Bacterial small subunit ribosomal RNA". The record is from RNAcentral. Lineage: Bacteria; Bacillati; Actinomycetota; Actinomycetes; Mycobacteriales; Mycobacteriaceae.
AGUUUUGAAUCAUGGCUCAGGACGAACGCUGGCGGCGUGCUUAACACAUGCAAGUCGAACGGUAAGGCCCUUUCGGGGGUACACGAGUGGCGAACGGGUGAGUAACACGUGGGUGAUCUGCCCUGCACUUUGGGAUAAGCCUGGGAAACUGGGUCUAAUACCGAAUAUUCCUCAUGGACUGCAUGGUUUGUGGGGGAAAGCUUUUGCGGUGUGGGAUGGGCCCGCGGCCUAUCAGCUUGUUGGUGGGGUGAUGGCCUACCAAGGCGACGACGGGUAGCCGGCCUGAGAGGGUGUCCGGCCACACUGGGACUGAGAUACGGCCCAGACUCCUACGGGAGGCAGCAGUGGGGAAUAUUGCACAAUGGGCGCAAGCCUGAUGCAGCGACGCCGCGUGAGGGAUGACGGCCUUCGGGUUGUAAACCUCUUUCAAUAGGGACGAAGCGCAAGUGACGGUACCUAUAGAAGAAGCACCGGCCAACUACGUGCCAGCAGCCGCGGUAAUACGUAGGGUGCGAGCGUUGUCCGGAAUUACUGGGCGUAAAGAGCUCGUAGGUGGUUUGUCGCGUUGUUCGUGAAAACUAGAGGCUUAACCUCUGGCGUGCGGGCGAUACGGGCAGACUGGAGUACUGCAGGGGAGACUGGAAUUCCUGGUGUAGCGGUGGAAUGCGCAGAUAUCAGGAGGAACACCGGUGGCGAAGGCGGGUCUCUGGGCAGUAACUGACGCUGAGGAGCGAAAGCGUGGGGAGCGAACAGGAUUAGAUACCCUGGUAGUCCACGCCGUAAACGGUGGGUACUAGGUGUGGGUUUCCUUCCUUGGGAUCCGUGCCGUAGCUAACGCAUUAAGUACCCCGCCUGGGGAGUACGGCCGCAAGGCUAAAACUCAAAGGAAUUGACGGGGGCCCGCACAAGCGGCGGAGCAUGUGGAUUAAUUCGAUGCAACGCGAAGAACCUUACCUGGGUUUGACAUGCACAGGACGCCGGCAGAGAUGUCGGUUCCCUUGUGGCCUGUGUGCAGGUGGUGCAUGGCUGUCGUCAGCUCGUGUCGUGAGAUGUUGGGUUAAGUCCCGCAACGAGCGCAACCCUUGUCUCAUGUUGCCAGCACGUAAUGGUGGGGACUCGUGAGAGACUGCCGGGGUCAACUCGGAGGAAGGUGGGGAUGACGUCAAGUCAUCAUGCCCCUUAUGUCCAGGGCUUCACACAUGCUACAAUGGCCGGUACAAAGGGCUGCGAUGCCGUGAGGUGGAGCGAAUCCUUUUUAAAGCCGGUCUCAGUUCGGAUCGGGGUCUGCAACUCGACCCCGUGAAGUCGGAGUCGCUAGUAAUCGCAGAUCAGCAACGCUGCGGUGAAUACGUUCCCGGGCCUUGUACACACCGCCCGUCACGUCAUGAAAGUCGGUAACACCCGAAGCCGGUGGCCUAACCCCUUGGGAAGGAAGCCUUCAAAGGGGGAAUCGCCAAUGGGAACAAAUUCUUACCAAGGAACCCUAACCGAAAGGUGCGGUGGAACACCCUCCCUUUCAAA